UUUUAUGAUGUAAUUCAUAGACCAUACACAGUGGAAUUCUAUAUCUUAUUUAUUUCCUCUUCCUUCUUUCUAUCAUCCCUCCCUUUAUCCACAUCCCUUUAGUUUUGCUUCACAACCUAGAAUCCCAUUUUUUUUUUAGAUAAAAAAGUGCAGUUGCUACAACUAUAUGACACAUCUACUCAUUUAUGAUAGAGGUAUUUAUUCAUAUAGUGACUGUUUCUUAGUUAGGAUCUCGACAAUACGAAGCAAUAGGUUGGUUAUUAGUAUUAGUUAAUUUUCUAUAAUUACUAAGUUUUUUUCUUUAAAAAAGAAAAAAAAAUAACGAGUCACACACUAAACGUAGCAAUUAUAUUAAAUGAUUUAUCAAUUUUCAUUAAAUCUUAUAGAAAGAGGUAGAAUUUCUUCUUUUGCAGGGAUUUCAGGAAAAAAGUCUCUUGUCAUUUUUUAUUCUAUCAAUGGACAGAAUUCGAAGACAAG
Molecule: long non-coding RNA, 477 nt
Filed under: Hordeum vulgare
Lineage: Eukaryota; Viridiplantae; Streptophyta; Magnoliopsida; Poales; Poaceae
Description: long non-coding RNA (HVUL_LNC021429)
Source: RNAcentral